GUUAACAUUCCCCACCCCGUGAACACGUCUGCUUGCACGUACUUGUUGUUCACUAAUUUACUGUCUCGUUACUCGCGCCUUGGAAAUUGGUUCCGUUAUCGGAAAAAAUCUCUGUCGGUGGUCCUCUACGGCAAACGAAUCUUCUGAUGGCCAUUAUACAUGAUUCAGUCGAUAGGCUAUAUGCUACUUCGAGGUGGACUGCCCUCGUUACUAGACAGGUGAAAACAGCCACAUAUCGCUUUUCGUUGCGGCGCAAGUUAGUAAUGUCUAUUGGUCCCAGAUAAUCGACUCCUACAUUCGUGAACGGACGCAGGAAGGGGCGUUGGCAGUUUUUCAUCGCUCUAUCAACGGCUGCUCUCAAAAAGGGAAUAUAGAGACGUUGUCUAACCUCAUUCACUACGGUUUCCCGAUUAGCAUGCCCAUAUUUUUCGUUCUUCCAGAUGCUCUAAA
This is a long non-coding RNA of Anopheles arabiensis, 450 nucleotides long. RefSeq lists it as uncharacterized. The transcript is spliced from 3 exons. Lineage: Eukaryota; Metazoa; Arthropoda; Insecta; Diptera; Culicidae. The record is from RefSeq and is a predicted model, not a curated record.